Molecule: ribosomal RNA, 856 nt
Filed under: uncultured bacterium
Lineage: Bacteria
Description: bacterial SSU rRNA
Rfam family: Bacterial small subunit ribosomal RNA
Source: RNAcentral
AUUAAUUGUCAAUUAUAAAUUUUCAAUUAUCAAUUCAAACAAAUUGCAGAGCAAUUUGUGAUAAGCUAGUGGCGAACGAGUGAGUAACGCGUGGGAAACUGCCCAUCACUGGGGAAUAACGUUUGGAAACGAACGCUAAUACCGCAUACGCCGGAAACGGGAAAGAUUUAUCGGUGAUGGAUGUGCCCGCGUUGGAUUAGCUUGUUGGUGGGGUAACGGCCUACCAAGGCGAUGAUCCAUAGCUGGUCUGAGAGGACGAUCAGCCACGCUGGAACUGAGACACGGUCCAGACUCCUACGGGAGGCAGCAGCUAAGAAUAUUGGGCAAUGGAGGAAACUCUGACCCAGCCAUGCCGCGUGAAUGAAGAAGGCCUUCGGGUUGUAAAGUUCUUUUAGUCGUGAAGAUGAUGACAGUAGCGACAGAAAAAGCACCGGCUAACUUCGUGCCAGCAGCCGCGGUAAUACGAAGGGUGCAAGCGUUGUUCGGAUUUACUGGGCGUAAAGCGUCCGCAGGUGGUGACUUAAGUCAGGGGUGAAAUCCCGGGGCCCAACCCCGGAACUGCCUUUGAUACUGGGUCGCUGGAGCGUGAUAGAGGAAGAUGGAAUAUCUGGUGUAGGGGUGAAAUCCGUAGAUAUCAGAUGGAACACCAAUGGCGAAGGCAGUCUUCUGGAUCAUUGCUGACACUCAUGGACGAAAGCGUGGGGAGCAAACAGAAUUAGAUACUCUGGUAGUCCACGCCCUAAACGAUGCAUGCUUGUUGUUAGGCUCCUUCGGGGGUUUAGUGACGUAGCUAACGCGUUAAGCAUGCCGCCNNGGGGAGUACGAUCGCAAGAUUAAAACUCAAAGGAAUUGACGG